CUCAGAAUGAAGACUUCCUUGGAGAAUAAUUACUAUCCUUUGUUGUGUCACAGAGCCAGGGCAGGGGUCCCCCGCCCCACAGUAAUGACAUUAAGUGCAGUGAACCUACCCUUCCUGUCCACAGGACACAGGGAAGGCGGGAGCUAGGGUUGGGACACUCCGCCACCAAUCGUGGAGUGAUCAAGCCCUGCCUGGUUUUGGGUUACUUCAUCCAUUGGGCAAGGAACUCACCACCCUUCAAGGUUCCCAAUCCCCUGCCAAAGGGUCAUUGGCUCUGGGGGAAUCACACGUCCUUCUAACAGCUCAGGAGGCCAGCUCCAAUUCCGGACUGGGCUCUGCUAGAUCCCCAGGACACACAUGGCUGUCACCAGGGACAGGAAGGAAGCGUCUGGGGAGCGUGUCCCUGAGCCUCAGGAUCUCAAUUUGCACAUAAAACCCCACCUUCCCUUCAGCACACCCUGUACGCCCUC
Molecule: long non-coding RNA, 470 nt
Filed under: Fukomys damarensis (Damara mole-rat)
Lineage: Eukaryota; Metazoa; Chordata; Mammalia; Rodentia; Bathyergidae
Description: lncRNA (ENSFDAG00000032161.1)
Source: RNAcentral